This 497-nucleotide ribosomal RNA is filed under the name uncultured bacterium. Its description in RNAcentral is "partial 16S ribosomal RNA". It matches the Rfam family "Bacterial small subunit ribosomal RNA", at positions 28 to 507 of the family's 1533-position model. The record is from RNAcentral.
GAUGAACGCUGGCGGCGUGCCUAAUACAUGCGAGUCGAGCGAACAGACGAGGAGCUUGCUCCUCUGACGUUAGCGGCGGACGGGUGAGUAACACGUGGAUAACCUACCUAUAAGACUGGGAUAACUUCGGGAAACCGGAGCUAAUACCGGAUAAUGUAUUGAACCGCAUGGUUCAAUAGUGAAAGACGGUUUUGCUGUCACUUAUAGAUGGAUCCGCGCCGCAUUAGCUAGUUGGUAAGGUAACGGCUUACCAAGGCAACGAUGCGUAGCCGACCUGAGAGGGUGAUCGGCCACACUGGAACUGAGACACGGUCCAGACUCCUACGGGAGGCAGCAGUAGGGAAUCUUCCGCAAUGGGCGAAAGCCUGACGGAGCAACGCCGCGUGAGUGAUGAAGGUCUUCGGAUCGUAAAACUCUGUUAUUAGGGAAGAACAAAUGUGUAAGUAACUAUGCACGUCUUGACGGUACCUAAUCAGAAAGCCACGGCUAACUACGUG